Molecule: ribosomal RNA, 276 nt
Filed under: Triticum aestivum (bread wheat)
Lineage: Eukaryota; Viridiplantae; Streptophyta; Magnoliopsida; Poales; Poaceae
Description: partial small subunit ribosomal RNA
Source: RNAcentral
CUACUCCCAUGGAUUCAAUUGGUCAGCCGGUCCAUGCCGAAUCUCAACGCUCCACUGGUGUCUGCUCUUGCUGAUCGGUGGAGGCCGAAGACGCACAGUUUCCAUCUUCGGACUGGGGAGAUGACCGUGACGCUCGAGGAUGUCUCGUUGAUCACCGGUCUUGCUAUCGACGGGAGGCCUCUCUGUAUGAGCACCGAUUCUGAUGGGUGGCUGAUGUCUACUACGCAACCUUCUUCUUGUAGACGUUGUUGGGCCUCCAAGUGCAUAGGUUUGUAG